GACGAACGCUGGCGGCGUGCUUAACACAUGCAAGUCGAACGGAAAGGCCCUGCGUUUGUUCGGUGCUCGAGUGGCGAACGGGUGAGUAUCACGUGAGUAACCUGCCCUUGACUUUGGGAUAACUUCAGGAAACUCGGGCUAAUACCGGGUAGGAGCUCUUGCUGCAUGGUGGGGGUUGGAAAGUGCCGGCCGUUGGGGAUGGACUCGCGGGUUAUCAACUUGUUGGUGGGGUAGUGGUUUACCAAGGGUUUGACGGGUAGGCGGCAUGAGAGGUGGACCGGCGACCAGGGUCCUGCGGGAGGGAGCAGUCGCCAACGGGAGGCAACGGGGGGGAGUAUGGCAGAGCGGGGGGAAGCGUGAUGCAGCAACGCCGCGAGCGGGAUGACGGCCUUCGGGCUGUAAACCGCUUUCGCCUGUGACGAAGAGGGAGUGACGGUAAUGGGUAAAGAAGCAACGGCUAACUACGUG
RNAcentral lists this ribosomal RNA (468 nucleotides) under uncultured bacterium. RNAcentral's name for it is "partial 16S ribosomal RNA". It matches the Rfam family "Bacterial small subunit ribosomal RNA", at positions 28 to 507 of the family's 1533-position model. The record is from RNAcentral.